AGUGAACGCUGGCGGUAGGCCUAACACAUGCAAGUCGAACGGCAGCACAGUAAGGGCUUGCUCUUACGGGUGGCGAGUGGCGGACGGGUGAGGAAUACAUCGGAAUCUACUUUUUCGUGGGGGAUAACGUAGGGAAACUUACGCUAAUACCGCAUACGACCUACGGGUGAAAGCAGGGGAUCUUCUGACCUUGCGCGAUUGAAUGAGCCGAUGUCGGAUUAGCUAGUUGGCGGGGUAAAGGCCCACCAAGGCGACGAUCCGUAGCUGGUCUGAGAGGAUGAUCAGCCACACUGGAACUGAGACACGGUCAAGACUCCUACGGGAGGCAGCAGUGGGGAAUAUGGGACAAAGGGCGCAAGCCUGAUCCGGCCAUACCGCGUGGGUGAAGAAGGCCUUCGGGUUGUAAAGACCUUUUGUUGGGAAAGAAAAGCAGCAGGUUAAGACCCCGCUGUUCUGACGGUACCCAAAGGAUAAGCACCGGCUAACUUCGUG
Molecule: ribosomal RNA, 492 nt
Filed under: uncultured bacterium
Lineage: Bacteria
Description: partial 16S ribosomal RNA
Rfam family: Bacterial small subunit ribosomal RNA
Source: RNAcentral